Cloeon dipterum is the source of this 637-nucleotide long non-coding RNA. RefSeq lists it as uncharacterized. The transcript has 4 exons. NCBI's taxonomy places the organism in Eukaryota, Metazoa, Arthropoda, Insecta, Ephemeroptera, Baetidae. The record is from RefSeq and is a predicted model, not a curated record.
AUUGUGUUCUUUCGGCUUCACACCAUUUUGAGUCCAGUGACACACAAAUGUUUUUUUUUACACCUCCAGCAUUCCCGAUGGAACAGAUCGUUUCACAGGAAGCCCUUCCUGCCAACGCUGGUUUGUAUAUAGAUGUUGAUAGUGUCAGGCGUAGGUUGGAUUUGUUUUAUAUGCGUGUUGUACGCUGUUCUGACAACAAACACACAAACAUGAAAAUUUGCUUUCUCUUACCAAUUUCGUUGCUGCUUUGUCUGCAAGUUGCUGCUGGAGCUGGCAUUGAUGACGAGGAGGACGACGAAAACAGUCCUGACACAGCGCCAGGCAAAGCAACCGAUAAUAAGCAAAAGCCGCCUAUUAGGGUAACGUCCGAAUCACCAAUUAGACGCAAAUCAACCGUCACGGUGAGAGUCACGACAGAUGCACCAGAUUGCCCCUUCAGGGACGGAGGGGUCAGAUACAAGAGGCAUAAUAUCAACCAUUGCUUUGCCGAAUGUCUCGGCCUGUUUGAAGACACCGCGAACGAGGACAGUUGCAAAUUCAACCCUGAAACUUGGAAUGCUGCUGAUCAAUACUGUUCAAAUAAGUUCACGCCAAACCAACGGUCAAACAAGAAAGUUUUUUGCAACUUUGAUCCAGU